This 241-nucleotide ribosomal RNA is filed under the name uncultured Staphylococcus sp. Its description in RNAcentral is "partial 16S ribosomal RNA". It matches the Rfam family "Bacterial small subunit ribosomal RNA", at positions 99 to 334 of the family's 1533-position model. The record is from RNAcentral. Lineage: Bacteria; Bacillati; Bacillota; Bacilli; Caryophanales; Staphylococcaceae.
CGGACGGGUGAGUAACACGUGGAUAACCUACCUAUAAGACUGGGAUAACUUCGGGAAACCGGAGCUAAUACCGGAUAAUAUUUUGAACCGCAUGGUUCAAAAGUAAAAGACGGUCUUGCUGUCACUUAUAGAUGGAUCCGCGCUGCAUUAGCUAGUUGGUAAGGUAACGGCUUACCAAGGCAACGAUGCAUAGCCGACCUGAGAGGGUGAUCGGCCACACUGGAACUGAGACACGGUCCGG